AGCGGGUUGGUGGAGUGGUCUAUCACGUGUGACUUAAGAUACCAUAAUCAUAACGCGAUUUUCGGAUCGCUUUAUCUUUGCAAAGGUUUCACAUCUCGCAAGAGGCGCGGGUUCGAACCCCGCACCCGCUA
Molecule: transfer RNA, 131 nt
Filed under: Stachybotrys chlorohalonatus IBT 40285
Lineage: Eukaryota; Fungi; Ascomycota; Sordariomycetes; Hypocreales; Stachybotryaceae
Description: Stachybotrys chlorohalonata IBT 40285 tRNA
Rfam family: tRNA
About the family: Transfer RNA (tRNA) molecules are approximately 80 nucleotides in length. Their secondary structure includes four short double-helical elements and three loops (D, anti-codon, and T loops).
Source: Rfam by way of RNAcentral